Pelobates cultripes (western spadefoot toad) is the source of this 206-nucleotide non-coding RNA. The record is from the annotation of a GenBank genome assembly. Lineage: Eukaryota; Metazoa; Chordata; Amphibia; Anura; Pelobatidae.
UGCUAAGCGGGUCCCAUGCAUUGAAAUGACUAGAGCCACCUAUAUCCCAGGGGACAUGCAGCAAAAUCAUGCAAAUUUAGUAACAUGCACUGAAGAGAAAAACUGCAGGCAGGAGUAGAGAACCCCAAACCUGCCCAUAGGAACCCAGAAAAACCUGUAGGAAUGACCCCCCAAACAGAGGGGGCUGAACAUAAAAUAAAAAUAAA